AUACGGAGGAUGCAAGCGUUAUCCGGAUUUAUUGGGUUUAAAGGGUGCGUAGGCGGAUGAUUAAGCGUGAGGUGAAAUGCCACUGCUCAACAGUGGAACUGCCUCGCGAACUGGUUGUCUUGAAUGCUCCUGCCGUGGGAGGAAUGUGUGGUGUAGCGGUGAAAUGCAUAGAGAUCACACAGAACACCGAUUGCGAAGGCAUCUCACGAAGGGGUGAUUGACGUUGAGGCACGAAAGCGUGGGGAUCAAACAGGAUUAGAUACCCUGGUAGUCCACGCAGUAAACGAUGAUAACUAGGUGUCCGUGGGUAUGACCCAUGGGUGCCGCAGCCAACGCAAUAAGUGAUCCACCUGGGGAGUACGUUCGCAAGAAUGAAACUCAAAUGAAUUGGCGGGG
RNAcentral lists this ribosomal RNA (396 nucleotides) under uncultured bacterium. RNAcentral describes it as "partial 16S ribosomal RNA". It matches the Rfam family "Bacterial small subunit ribosomal RNA", at positions 523 to 918 of the family's 1533-position model. The record is from RNAcentral.